This 157-nucleotide ribosomal RNA is filed under the name Curvularia trifolii. RNAcentral's name for it is "5.8S ribosomal RNA". The stretch from base 1 to 118 matches the Rfam family "5.8S ribosomal RNA", at positions 37 to 154 of the family's 154-position model. From Rfam's summary of the family: 5.8S ribosomal RNA (5.8S rRNA) is a component of the large subunit of the eukaryotic ribosome. Lineage: Eukaryota; Fungi; Ascomycota; Dothideomycetes; Pleosporales; Pleosporaceae. The record is from RNAcentral.
UGAAGAACGCAGCGAAAUGCGAUACGUAGUGUGAAUUGCAGAAUUCAGUGAAUCAUCGAAUCUUUGAACGCACAUUGCGCCCUUUGGUAUUCCAAAGGGCAUGCCUGUUCGAGCGUCAUUUGUACCCUCAAGCUUUGCUUGGUGUUGGGCGUCUUGU